This 492-nucleotide ribosomal RNA is filed under the name uncultured bacterium. Its description in RNAcentral is "partial 16S ribosomal RNA". It matches the Rfam family "Bacterial small subunit ribosomal RNA", at positions 29 to 507 of the family's 1533-position model. The record is from RNAcentral.
AGUGAACGCUGGCAGUAGGCCUAACACAUGCAAGUCGAACGGCAGCACAGUAAGAGCUUGCUCUUACGGGUGGCGGGUGGCGGACGGGUGAGGAAUACAUCGGAAUCUACUUUUUCGUGGGGGAUAACGUAGGGAAACUUACGCUAAUACCGCAUACGACCUACGGGUGAAAGCAGGGGAUCUUCGGACCUUGCGCGAUUGAAUGAGCCGAUGUCGGAUUAGCUAGUUGGCGGGGUAAAGGCCCACCAAGGCGACGAUCCGUAGCUGGGCUGAGAGGAUGAUCAGCCACACUGGAACUGAGACACGGUCCAGACUCCUACGGGAGGCAGCAGUGGGGAAUAUUGGACAAUGGGCGCAAGCCUGAUCCAGCCAUACCGCGUGGGUGAAGAAGGCCUUCGGGUUGUAAAGCCCUUUUGUUGGGAAAGAAAAGCAGCAGGUUAAUACCCCGCUGUUCUGACGGUACCCAAAGAAUAAGCACCGGCUAACUUCGUG